UACAGAGGUCCCAAGCGUUGUUCGGAUUCACUGGGCGUAAAGGGUGCGUAGGCGGUCGGGUAAGUCUGAUGUGAAAUCUCACAGCUUAACUGUGAAACUGCAUUGGAUACUAUCCGGCUCGAGGAAUGGAGGGGAGACUGGAAUACUUGGUGUAGCAGUGAAAUGCGUAGAUAUCAAGUGGAACACCAGUGGCGAAGGCGGCCUUCUGGACGGUGACUGACGCUGAGACGCGAAAGCGUGGGGAGCAAACAGG
This 253-nucleotide ribosomal RNA is filed under the name uncultured bacterium. Its description in RNAcentral is "partial 16S ribosomal RNA". It matches the Rfam family "Bacterial small subunit ribosomal RNA", at positions 524 to 776 of the family's 1533-position model. The record is from RNAcentral.